UCGGACGGGAUUGUGGAGCUUGCUUCACAUGAGAGUGGCGCACGGGUGCGUAACACGUAUGUAACCUACCCUUGUCAGGGGGAUAGCCUCUCGAAAGAGAGAUUAAGACCGCAUAAAAUUAAGAUGUGGCAUCACAAUUUAAUCAAAUAUUUAUAGGACAAGGAUGGGCAUGCGGAACAUUAGCUAGUUGGUAAGGUAAUGGCUUACCAAGGCUACGAUGUUUAGGGGAUCUGAGAGGAUGACCCCCCACACUGGUACUGAGACACGGACCAGACUCCUACGGGAGGCAGCAGUAAGGAAUAUUGGUCAAUGGGCGGAAGCCUGAACCAGCCAUGCCGCGUGCAGGAAGACGGCCCUAUGGGUUGUAAACUGCUUUUACAGGGGAAUAAACCUUCGUAUGUAUACGAAGCUGAAUGUACUCUGAGAAUAAGGAUCGGCUAACUCCGUGCCAGCAGCCGCGGUAAUACGGAGGAUCCGAGCGAUAUCCGGAUUUAUUGGGUUUAAAGGGUGCGUAGGUGGCCUGUUAAGUCAGGGGUGAAAGACGGUAGCUCAACUAUCGCAGUGCCCUUGAUACUGAUGGGCUUGAAUGAACUAGAGGUAGGCGGAAUGUGACAAGUAGCGGUGAAAUGCAUAGAUAUGUCACAGAACACCAAUUGCGAAGGCAGCUUACUAUGGUUUUAUUGACACUGAGGCACGAAAGCGUGGGGAUCAAACAGGAUUAGAUACCCUGGUAGUCCACGCCCUAAACGAUGAAUACUCGAUGUUGGCGAUAUACGGUCAGCGUCUAAGCGA
Molecule: ribosomal RNA, 792 nt
Filed under: uncultured bacterium
Lineage: Bacteria
Description: bacterial SSU rRNA
Rfam family: Bacterial small subunit ribosomal RNA
Source: RNAcentral